AUGAACGCUGGCGGCGUGCCUAAUACAUGCAAGUCGAGCGAACGGACGAGAAGCUUGCUUCUCUGAUGUUAGCGGCGGACGGGUGAGUAACACGUGGAUAACCUACCUAUAAGACUGGGAUAACUUCGGGAAACCGUAGCUAAUACCGGAUAAUAUUUUGAACCGCAUGGUUCAAAAGUGAAAGACGGUCUUGCUGUCACUUAUAGAUGGAUCCGCGCUGCAUUAGCUAGUUGGUAAGGUAACGGCUUACCAAGGCAACGAUGCAUAGCCGACCUGAGAGGGUGAUCGGCCACACUGGAACUGAGACACGGUUCAGACUCCUACGGGAGGCAGCAGUAGGGAAUCUUCCGCAAUGGGCGAAAGCCUGACGGAGCAACGCCGCGUGAGUGAUGAAGGUCUUCGGAUCGUAAAACUCUGUUAUUAGGGAAGAACAUAUGUGUAAGUAACUGUGCACAUCUUGACGGUACCUAAUCAGAAAGCCACGGCUAACUACGUG
RNAcentral lists this ribosomal RNA (496 nucleotides) under uncultured bacterium. RNAcentral's name for it is "partial 16S ribosomal RNA". It matches the Rfam family "Bacterial small subunit ribosomal RNA", at positions 29 to 507 of the family's 1533-position model. The record is from RNAcentral.